Long non-coding RNA from Lepisosteus oculatus (spotted gar), 389 nucleotides. RefSeq lists it as uncharacterized. NCBI's taxonomy places the organism in Eukaryota, Metazoa, Chordata, Actinopteri, Semionotiformes, Lepisosteidae. The record is from RefSeq and is a predicted model, not a curated record.
GUAGGCUAAAGGCAGAAUUGAAUAUCAUGUGGAACAGCUCCACCUAGAGAGCAUGAUGGCGUGGCUGUUACCACCACUGCCUCACAUCUCUGGGCUCCUGGGCUCAGUUCUGAGCUAAGCGGUCUUUCUGUGUGACGUUUACUUAGAUCUUCUCCAAGUAUUCUUCAGGAGACUUUCAAAAGACACGUUUGUUGAUUGGGAUUCCAGUGACACACCAGGCUGUCAUUCUGAACGCUGUAAUUCUUGUGGCCUACCAGCCAGUAUGUGUUCAUUUUACCUUUCCCCUGAGAACAAAGAGAAACCUAAAAUCUGAAGCUCAUAGGCAUCAUCCUUUUUCAGAGCGAGGUAGGUGGCAGAGCUGACAUGAACCUUUUGAGCUGCCAUAGAAG